RNAcentral lists this ribosomal RNA (1361 nucleotides) under uncultured bacterium. Its description in RNAcentral is "bacterial SSU rRNA". It matches the Rfam family "Bacterial small subunit ribosomal RNA". The record is from RNAcentral.
AGAGUUUGAUCCUGGCUCAGGACGAACGCUGGCGGCGCGCCUAACACAUGCAAGUCGAACGAGCGAGAGAGAGCUUGCUUUCUCGAGCGAGUGGCGAACGGGUGAGUAACGCGUGAGGAAUCUGCCUCAAAGAGGGGGACAACAGUUGGAAACGACUGCUAAUACCGCAUAAGCCCACGGUGCCGCAUGGCACAGAGGGAAAAGGAGCAAUCCGCUUUGAGAUGGCCUCGCGUCCGAUUAGCUAGUUGGUGAGGUAACGGCCCACCAAGGCAACGAUCGGUAGCCGGACUGAGAGGUUGAACGGCCACAUUGGGACUGAGACACGGCCCAGACUCCUACGGGAGGCAGCAGUGGGGAAUAUUGCACAAUGGGGGAAACCCUGAUGCAGCGACGCCGCGUGGAGGAAGAAGGUCUUCGGAUUGUAAACUCCUGUUGUUGGGGAAGAUAAUGACGGUACCCAACAAGGAAGUGACGGCUAACUACGUGCCAGCAGCCGCGGUAAAACGUAGGUCACAAGCGUUGUCCGGAAUUACUGGGUGUAAAGGGAGCGCAGGCGGGAAGACAAGUUGGAAGUGAAAUCUAUGGGCUCAACCCAUAAACUGCUUUCAAAACUGUUUUUCUUGAGUAGUGCAGAGGUAGGCGGAAUUCCCGGUGUAGCGGUGGAAUGCGUAGAUAUCGGGAGGAACACCAGUGGCGAAGGCGGCCUACUGGGCACCAACUGACGCUGAGGCUCGAAAGUGUGGGUAGCAAACAGGAUUAGAUACCCUGGUAGUCCACACCGUAAACGAUGAUUACUAGGUGUUGGAGGAUUGACCCCUUCAGUGCCGCAGUAAACACAAUAAGUAAUCCACCUGGGGAGUACGACCGCAAGGUUGAAACUCAAAGGAAUUGACGGGGGCCCGCACAAGCAGUGGAGUAUGUGGUUUAAUUCGACGCAACGCGAAGAACCUUACCAAGUCUUGACAUCCCUUGACAGACAUAGAAAUAUGUAAUCUCUUCGGAGCAAGGAGACAGGUGGUGCAUGGUUGUCGUCAGCUCGUGUCGUGAGAUGUUGGGUUAAGUCCCGCAACGAGCGCAACCCUUAUGGUCAGUUACUACGCAAGAGGACUCUGGCCAGACUGCCGUUGACAAAACGGAGGAAGGUGGGGAUGACGUCAAAUCAUCAUGCCCUUUAUGACUUGGGCUACACACGUACUACAAUGGCGUUAAACAAAGAGAAGCAAGACCGCGAGGUGGAGCAAAACUCAGAAACAACGUCCCAGUUCGGACUGCAGGCUGCAACUCGCCUGCACGAAGUCGGAAUUGCUAGUAAUCGUGGAUCAGCAUGCCACGGUGAAUACGUUCCCGGGCCUUGUACACAC